Molecule: long non-coding RNA, 1202 nt
Filed under: Calidris pygmaea (Spoon-billed sandpiper)
Lineage: Eukaryota; Metazoa; Chordata; Aves; Charadriiformes; Scolopacidae
Description: lncRNA (ENSCPGG00000010442.1)
Source: RNAcentral
UGAGGCCAUCUUCCAUUAGAGGACAGUGGUAAGAGCUAUUGCUAAUUAUGUCACAGACAUCAGAGAAAAGUUGCUGAAAGAGGGACUCUCAGUGCCCGGAAGAUGGUGUAGGAAGAUGUUGAUUCUUCUCAAGUCACCAGCUGCAGCAUCGUGUGGUUUUGGUUUCUGCUGCAGAAACUGCUCCUGCUGGUGAUGGAGUGAGCACAAAGAGCGGACGGAGCUGCUGCUGCCCAGAAUGUGAGCCCCAAAGGACCUCGUUGGCUCGAGGAGGAGAUAUUUGCUCACACCAGCAUAACCUCUCUCCACUGUCAGUAUUUCCUUUGGUCGUGCUGGGACUUCUGAGGACAGCCCGGGCUGUUUGAGGACAUCCUGGGCUCAAGCCAUUUGCUCCUGAAUGAAGAUGCUCUUGAUGGACCGUUUUGUUCUUUGCAGCAGCAGGAAUGAGCCUGGAAGCGGAGGAAUCGGCUCCGAGAAUCCGAGAAGGAAUGGCAUUCCUUGGUCUUUCCCCCUCAGCAUGCCCUGACUGGAAGCUCUGGCUGUCAAUGGUACCCAGAGAGAGUUUUGUUGGUGAAAAAUGUUCCUUGGAGCCCUCCCAUGCAGGUGCUGAGAGAAUGAGCCAGUUGUUUGGAGAAUUGUUGUCUUCCCCAUGGACAGGUGCCAUUUUGAGUGAAACCAUCUCAGACACAGCAUACAACUUUUGCAGACGUUGCACAGCACCAUGGCAAAGAACAGACCUCGAAGUUCACAAACCGAGUGGAAAUUGUCAGAUAUUUGUGAGUUGGUGGAUAAUUGACAUCAGGAAAUGUUUGCAACUGGCUGCUUAUGAAAGCCUUUGAGGAGCUCCGGACCCUGCGAUUCCUUCCCUUCUGACAAACCCCAUUUCUAGCAGGUCUGUGUUUGCAGUUGGGGCAAUUUCACUGGCUCAUGCUCAUUGGCAAAGCACGAGGUUUAUGACCCUACCAAUGCCUUGGUGGCUUUUCUUCUCUUCUUAGAUACGUCUUAGAGGAUACCUCAGCUGUAAUGGGGUGAGCCAAGGUCUGGAAUGAGGGGCAAGCUGAAAGAGCUCAAUCUGUUUGACUUGCUGAAAAGCAAGCUUGGAGGCAACGUGAUCAUGGUAAGUAAUUCCCUGCCCCAGGAGGAGAUUUCUGAUGUGUAACAGAUACAGGAAGAUCCAGUGGAUGGAAGUUGAAGCUAGGCUGGAA